RNAcentral lists this ribosomal RNA (505 nucleotides) under uncultured bacterium. Its description in RNAcentral is "partial 16S ribosomal RNA". It matches the Rfam family "Bacterial small subunit ribosomal RNA", at positions 28 to 507 of the family's 1533-position model. The record is from RNAcentral.
GACGAACGCUGGCGGCGUGCCUAAUACAUGCAAGUAGAACGCACAGUUUAUACCGUAGCUUGCUACACCAUAGACUGUGAGUUGCGAACGGGUGAGUAACGCGUAGGUAACCUGCCUGGUAGCGGGGGAUAACUAUUGGAAACGAUAGCUAAUACCGCAUAAUAUUAAUUAUUGCAUGAUAAUUAAUUGAAAGGUGCAAUUGCACCACUACCAGAUGGACCUGCGUUGUAUUAGCUAGUAGGUGAGGUAACGGCUCACCUAGGCGACGAUACAUAGCCGACCUGAGAGGGUGAUCGGCCACACUGGGACUGAGACACGGCCCAGACUCCUACGGGAGGCAGCAGUAGGGAAUCUUCGGCAAUAGACGAAAGUCUGACCGAGCAACGCCGCGUGAGUGAAGAAGGUUUUCGGAUCGUAAAGCUCUGUUGUAAGAGAAGAACGGGUGUGAGAGUGGAAAGUUCACACUGUGGCGGUAUCUUACCAGAAAGGGACGGCUAACUACGUG